GUCUGAGGCCAGCCUGGUCUACAGAGUGAGUUCUAGGACAGCCAAAGCUACACAGAGAAGCCCUGUCUCAAAAAGAGAAGAGACUCCUUUCCAGAAUAGGGUGUCUAAUGUCUAAUCUGGGAGAAAAGUUACUCAAGAUCAUUAGCCAACAGAGACAUGCAAAUUAGGAUUAGAAUAGUUUAUUUUCAACACACUUGCCAGCAUUAUUAAAAUGAAAGAGACAGACCAUGCUAAUACAUAAGAGGAUUGUAGAACAGCAGGACCUUUUAGAUGCUCCUGAAAUGAAGCGUAAAUAUCCAAAACCUUGGAAAACUGUCAGUAUCUAUAAAAGCUGAACAUUAACAUGUACAUAUACAUCUAUGCAUAUCCAGUAAAGCCACCCCUAGAGCUUAAAUUCUCAGUUGAACUGUAAGUAUACAAUAGAUGUUUGAUGGGGAAGCUCAGCCAAUCACAUCUGGCUAGGGUGUGGCUGCCUGGAGCCCGGGUAGAAAAACAGGGGUAGAUAGGUGUGUGCUCUCUCUAUGCGGUGCUUGCUGGACCAUUUUGGAUUUCGGAUCUUCCACUCUUGUAGCUUCUUCAAAUGUUUCAAAGCAGCUUAUUUCCCCUGGAGACUUCCAGAGGCCAGGGCCAUUCAGAACUUGUCUCACGGAACACCGGCUUUCUAAGAUGCUCCGUGUGAACGAAUGGUUCAGUGACCGUGCAAGCAGCGCCUCUAUUUCAUCUCGGAAACUCUCAUUUGAGGAUCUGAGAGCAGGUGGCAGUGAGAGCACGUAGCUAGGCUAAGAGAGGCGCCCCAAACCCGAAGAUCAGCGCUGGGAGCCUGCUCAUCUCCAAGGCGGAUUCCAGGACCUGGUACCUGCCAUCGCUCAAGCCCUCGGCAGAUCUUCUUCAAACUGAAGAUGGUGUUAUGAAGUACUCAGUCUUUCGAACAUGCUGUUCUGUAAUAAACGGGAGGAAGAUCUUUGCUUCUAAAAGCCACGUUCUUCUCAAUAGAUAACAGAGGACAAUCUCACUAUUUUAAGGCCCUGUCUCAGCACAGGGUCCCAGGACAGCUAAUGACGGAAACCUCUGAAAGUGUGAGUCAAAGGAGGCCUUUCAAUCUUCCCUCCCUGAACUUGUCUCUCUCUCAGGGACUUGUCACAGCAGCACCAUGCUAAAACAAGCACAAUGCUUCCGUGUAUUCACCUUAGAAUAAUUAGAAAAUACCGAUAAGCAGGAGGGAUGAAAAGAGCCUACCCCACAGACUGCCCCACCAUGUAGACAUGUAUGCCUGGAUUUCCUGAUUAAAAAGUGAGAACCUUCAUCUGGUGAUGGAUGGACAUAGAGACAGAGACCCACACUGGAGCACUGGACUGAGCUCCCAAGGUCCCAAUGAGGAGCAGAUGGAGGGAGAACACGAGCAAGGAUGUCAGGACCACGAGGGGUGCACCCACCCACUGAGACAGUGGGGCUGAUCUAUUGGGAGUUCACCAAGGCCAGCUGGACUGUGACUGAAAAAGCAUGGGAUAAAACUGGACUCUCUGAUCAUGGCGAACAAUGAGGGCUGAUGAGAAGCCAAGGACAAUGGCACGGGGUUUUGAUCCUACUUCAUGCUCUGGCUUGGUGGGAGCCUAGCCAGUUUGGAUGUUCACCUUCCUAGACAUGGACGGAGGGGGGAGGACCUUGGACUUUCCACAGGGCAGGGAACCCUGACUGCUCUUUGGA
Long non-coding RNA from Alexandromys fortis (reed vole), 1704 nucleotides. RefSeq lists it as uncharacterized. The transcript is spliced from 6 exons. NCBI's taxonomy places the organism in Eukaryota, Metazoa, Chordata, Mammalia, Rodentia, Cricetidae. The record is from RefSeq and is a predicted model, not a curated record.